GUGAGGCCUACAACAACUCCUUUAAGAACUCAACUUCUAGUGUAGCUGGCCAAAAAAGAAAGACUAGCACAGCUUUGAGAGGUGGUGCAACUCUUGUAUAUAAGAGACCAAGAUAAAAAAGAAAAGCAAAGACAACUAGUUAUGGUAUCUUAUUUGGAUCAGGUGGCAGUGUAACUAAGAGGGUAUGUAUUUUAUUAUUUAAACACAUUUAAUUACAUUAAUUGAUAUUAGUUCAUCUUUAAGUGAAAUUUUUUGUUGUUUUCUUAGUCUGGAAAUAUUGAUAGGGUGUUACAUAGUGCUACAUUGUCAAGUUCAACUCCUACGAAUAUUGAUCUUGGUUACAAACCCAAUGGACUAAGGUGGAAG
Molecule: long non-coding RNA, 366 nt
Filed under: Solanum tuberosum (potato)
Lineage: Eukaryota; Viridiplantae; Streptophyta; Magnoliopsida; Solanales; Solanaceae
Description: long non-coding RNA (STUB_LNC000051)
Source: RNAcentral